GCCCGAGUGGCGGAAUAGGUAGACGCACAGGACUUAAAAUCCUGCGGAAGUUGAUUCCAUACCGGUUCGAUUCCGGUCUCGGGCACCA
RNAcentral lists this transfer RNA (88 nucleotides) under Candidatus Alectryobacillus merdavium. RNAcentral's name for it is "tRNA-Leu". It matches the Rfam family "tRNA". From Rfam's summary of the family: Transfer RNA (tRNA) molecules are approximately 80 nucleotides in length. Their secondary structure includes four short double-helical elements and three loops (D, anti-codon, and T loops). The record is from RNAcentral. Lineage: Bacteria; Bacillati; Bacillota; Bacilli.